GGCCUACGGGGGGCAGCAGUCGAGGAUUUUCGUCAAUGGGCGCAAGCCUGAACGAGCGACGCCGCGUGCGGGAUGAAGGCCUUCGGGUUGUAAACCGCUGUCAGUGGGGAGGAAAUGCAUGUGGGUACUCCCACAUGUUUGACUAAUCCGCAGAGGAAGUGUGGGCUAAGCUCGUGCCAGCAGCCGCGGUAAGACGAGCCACACAAACGUUAUUCGGAAUCACUGGGCUUAAAGGGUGCGGAGGCUGUGCAGAAAGUUGGGUGUGAAAUCCGACAGCUUAACUGUCGAAGUGCACUCAAUACUACUGUGCUAGAGGAAGACAGAGGUAAGCGGAACUGAGGGUGGAGCGGUGAAAUGCGUUGAUAUCCUCAGGAACACCGGUGGCGAAGGCGGCUUACUGGGUCUUUUCUGACGCUGAGGCACGAAAGCUAGGGGAGCGAACGGGAUUAGAUACCCGUGUAGUC
This 464-nucleotide ribosomal RNA is filed under the name uncultured Planctomycetaceae bacterium. RNAcentral's name for it is "bacterial SSU rRNA". It matches the Rfam family "Bacterial small subunit ribosomal RNA", at positions 335 to 795 of the family's 1533-position model. Lineage: Bacteria; Pseudomonadati; Planctomycetota; Planctomycetia; Planctomycetales; Planctomycetaceae. The record is from RNAcentral.